This 243-nucleotide ribosomal RNA is filed under the name uncultured bacterium. RNAcentral describes it as "partial 16S ribosomal RNA". It matches the Rfam family "Bacterial small subunit ribosomal RNA", at positions 1249 to 1500 of the family's 1533-position model. The record is from RNAcentral.
GCUACACAGCGAUGUGAUGCUAAUCUCCAAACCAUGUCUCAGUUCGGAUCGGAGUCUGCAACUCGACUCCGUGAAGCUGGAUUCGCUAGUAAUCGCUCAUCAGCCAUGGCGCGGUGAAUACGUUCCCGGGCCUUGUACACACCGCCCGUCAAGCCAUGGGAGCCGGGGGUACCUGAAGUCCGUAACCGCGAGGAUCGGCCUAGGGUAAAACUGGUGACUGGGGCUAAGUCGUAACAAGGUAAC